RNAcentral lists this ribosomal RNA (622 nucleotides) under Lactiplantibacillus pentosus. RNAcentral's name for it is "bacterial SSU rRNA". It matches the Rfam family "Bacterial small subunit ribosomal RNA", at positions 62 to 649 of the family's 1533-position model. Lineage: Bacteria; Bacillati; Bacillota; Bacilli; Lactobacillales; Lactobacillaceae. The record is from RNAcentral.
UCGAACGAACUCUGGUAUUGAUUGGUGCUUGCAUCAUGAUUUACAUUUGAGUGAGUGGCGAACUGGUGAGUAACACGUGGGAAACCUGCCCAGAAGCGGGGGAUAACACCUGGAAACAGAUGCUAAUACCGCAUAACAACUUGGACCGCAUGGUCCGAGUUUGAAAGAUGGCUUCGGCUAUCACUUUUGGAUGGUCCCGCGGCGUAUUAGCUAGAUGGUGGGGUAACGGCUCACCAUGGCAAUGAUACGUAGCCGACCUGAGAGGGUAAUCGGCCACAUUGGGACUGAGACACGGCCCAAACUCCUACGGGAGGCAGCAGUAGGGAAUCUUCCACAAUGGACGAAAGUCUGAUGGAGCAACGCCGCGUGAGUGAAGAAGGGUUUCGGCUCGUAAAACUCUGUUGUUAAAGAAGAACAUAUCUGAGAGUAACUGUUCAGGUAUUGACGGUAUUUAACCAGAAAGCCACGGCUAACUACGUGCCAGCAGCCGCGGUAAUACGUAGGUGGCAAGCGUUGUCCGGAUUUAUUGGGCGUAAAGCGAGCGCAGGCGGUUUUUUAAGUCUGAUGUGAAAGCCUUCGGCUCAACCGAAGAAGUGCAUCGGAAACUGGGAAACUUGAGUGC